This 582-nucleotide ribosomal RNA is filed under the name Pediococcus pentosaceus. RNAcentral's name for it is "bacterial SSU rRNA". It matches the Rfam family "Bacterial small subunit ribosomal RNA", at positions 62 to 635 of the family's 1533-position model. The record is from RNAcentral. Lineage: Bacteria; Bacillati; Bacillota; Bacilli; Lactobacillales; Lactobacillaceae.
UUGUACUGAUUGAGAUUUUAACACGAAGUGAGUGGCGAACGGGUGAGUAACACGUGGUAACCUGCCCAGAAGUAGGGGAUAACACCUGGAAACAGAUGCUAAUACCGUAAACAGAGAAAACCGCAUGGUUUUCUUUUAAAAGAUGGCUCUGCUAUCACUUCUGGAUGGACCCGCGGCGUAUUAGCUAGUUGGUGAGGUAAAGGCUCACCAAGGCAGUGAUACGUAGCCGACCUGAGAGGGUAAUCGGCCACAUUGGGACUGAGACACGGCCCAGACUCCUACGGGAGGCAGCAGUAGGGAAUCUUCCACAAUGGACGCAAGUCUGAUGGAGCAACGCCGCGUGAGUGAAGAAGGGUUUCGGCUCGUAAAGCUCUGUUGUUAAAGAAGAACGUGGGUAAGAGUAACUGUUUACCCAGUGACGGUAUUUAACCAGAAAGCCACGGCUAACUACGUGCCAGCAGCCGCGGUAAUACGUAGGUGGCAAGCGUUAUCCGGAUUUAUUGGGCGUAAAGCGAGCGCAGGCGGUCUUUUAAGUCUAAUGUGAAAGCCUUCGGCUCAACCGAAGAAGUGCAUUGGAAACUG